UACAGAGGUCUCAAGCGUUGUUCGGAUUCAUUGGGCGUAAAGGGUGCGUAGGCGGCGCGGUAAGUCGGGUGUGAAAUCUCGGAGCUUAACUCCGAAACUGCAUUCGAUACUGCCGUGCUUGAGGACUGGAGAGGAGACUGGAAUUUACGGUGUAGCGGUGAAAUGCGUAGAUAUCGGGAGGAACACCUGUGGCGAAAGCGGCGCACUGGACCACAUCUGACGCUGAGGCGCGAAAGCUAGGGGAGCAAACAGG
This 253-nucleotide ribosomal RNA is filed under the name uncultured bacterium. Its description in RNAcentral is "partial 16S ribosomal RNA". It matches the Rfam family "Bacterial small subunit ribosomal RNA", at positions 524 to 776 of the family's 1533-position model. The record is from RNAcentral.